This 250-nucleotide ribosomal RNA is filed under the name uncultured prokaryote. RNAcentral's name for it is "partial 16S ribosomal RNA". It matches the Rfam family "Bacterial small subunit ribosomal RNA", at positions 524 to 773 of the family's 1533-position model. The record is from RNAcentral.
UACGUAGGUAGCAAGCGUUGUCCGGAUUUACUGGGUGUAAAGGGCGUGUAGGCGGAGAUGCAAGUCAGGAGUGAAAUGCAAGGGCUCAACCCUUGAACUGCUUUUGAAACUGCAUCCCUUGAGUAUCGGAGAGGCAGGCGGAAUUCCGAGUGUAGCGGUGAAAUGCGUAGAUAUUCGGAGGAACACCAGUGGCGAAGGCGGCCUGCUGGACGGCAACUGACGCUGAGGCGCGAAAGCGUGGGGAGCAAAC